RNAcentral lists this ribosomal RNA (460 nucleotides) under uncultured bacterium. Its description in RNAcentral is "partial 16S ribosomal RNA". It matches the Rfam family "Bacterial small subunit ribosomal RNA", at positions 338 to 795 of the family's 1533-position model. The record is from RNAcentral.
CCUACGGGGAGCAGCAGUGAGGAAUAUUGGACAAUGGGCGCUAGCCUGAACCAGCGAAGUAGCGUGAAGGAUGAAUGCCCUAUGUGCUGUAAACUUCAUUUAUAGGGGAAUAAAGUGCAGUAUGUAUAUUGCUUUCCAUGUACCUUUUCAUUCCGGAUCGGCUAACUCCGUGCCAGCAGCCGCGGUUAUACGGAGGAUCCGGGCGUUAUCCGGAUUUAUGGGGUUUAAAGGGAGCGUAGUCGGGUUGUUAAGUCAGUUGUGAAAGUUUGCGGCUCAACCGUAAAAUUGCAGUUGAUACUGGCAUCCUUGAGUACAGUAGAGGUAGGCGGAAUUCGUGGUGUAGCGGUGAAAUGCUUAGAUAUCACGAAGAACUCCGAUUGCGAAGGCAGCCUGCUGGACUGUAACUGACGCUGAUGCUCGAAAGUGUGGGUAUCAAACAGGAUUAGAUACCCUUGUAGUC